Molecule: ribosomal RNA, 506 nt
Filed under: uncultured bacterium
Lineage: Bacteria
Description: partial 16S ribosomal RNA
Rfam family: Bacterial small subunit ribosomal RNA
Source: RNAcentral
AUUGAACGCUGGCGGCAGGCCUAACACAUGCAAGUCGGACGGUAGCACAGAGGAGCUUGCUCCUCGGGUGACGAGUGGCGGACGGGUGAGUAAUGUCUGGGGAUCUGCCCGAUAGAGGGGGAUAACCACUGGAAACGGUGGCUAAUACCGCAUAACGUCGCAAGACCAAAGAGGGGGACCUUCGGGCCUCUCACUAUCGGAUGAACCCAGAUGGGAUUAGCUAGUAGGCGGGGUAACGGCCCACCUAGGCGACGAUCCCUAGCUGGUCUGAGAGGAUGACCAGCCACACUGGAACUGAGACACGGUCCAGACUCCUACGGGAGGGAGCAGUGGGGAAUAUUGGACAAUGGGGGCAAGCCUGAUGCAGCCAUGCCGCGUGUAUGAAGAAGGCCUUCGGGUUGUAAAGUACUUUCAGCGGGGAGGAAGGCGAUAAGGUUAAUAACCUUGUCGAUUGACGUUACCCGCAGAAGAAGCACCGGCUAACUCCGUGCCAGCCGCCGCCGUAA